Molecule: ribosomal RNA, 253 nt
Filed under: uncultured bacterium
Lineage: Bacteria
Description: partial 16S ribosomal RNA
Rfam family: Bacterial small subunit ribosomal RNA
Source: RNAcentral
UACGUAGGGUGCGAGCGUUAAUCGGAAUUACUGGGCGUAAAGCGUGCGCAGGCGGUUCGUUAAGUCAGAUGUGAAAGCCCCGGGCUCAACCUGGGAACUGCAUUUGAAACUGGCGGGCUUGAGUAUGGCAGAGGGGGGUGGAAUUCCGCGUGUAGCAGUGAAAUGCGUAGAGAUCGGGAGGAACACCAGUGGCGAAGGCGGCCAUCUGGAUCAACACUGACGCUGAGGCACGAAAGCGUGGGGAGCAAACAGG